GCUGUCAUUCUUAAUAGGCCAGUCGUCAUAAUAGAAGGCUCAGUGACGCCACAAGUCGAUUUAGAGUGAAUAAACAGAGCGGGAGAGUAGUCUAGCAGAGACUAGAGGUGAAUUCAAGGCAAUAACACAAAACAUCACCAGUGGCACAUCACCAGCUAAAUAGAAGCAUGUUCUUUGUGGUGAAAGAAGGUUCUUCAGAUUAUAUAAAGAACCGCAUUGAGUGGAUGGGACACGCAUGUUGGAGAGUGACAUCAGACGCUCUAUUUGUGUGGCCGUUGUGACACAAUCAUCAAAGCUGUCCUCGUGCGCCCUCGUCUGUUGGAAAAAAUAAGAGCUCUCUCUCUCUCUCUCUCUCUCUCUCUCUCUCUCUCUCNCCCCCGCUUUCUCUCAGUGGUCAAUUUUGGUGUUCCUUAUUGACAAGGAAAAACUUUGUCUUCCAAAAACAUUUGAGGCAUAGCUACCUAUAACGAGAACCUGUGAGAUAUCAUAAAAGAAUACAUUUAAAGUAAAAUGAUGGUGAAAAUAAAAUGAGUAGUGCACAAAAUGUAAAAUAAAAU
Cyprinus carpio (common carp) is the source of this 557-nucleotide long non-coding RNA. The record is from Ensembl. NCBI's taxonomy places the organism in Eukaryota, Metazoa, Chordata, Actinopteri, Cypriniformes, Cyprinidae.